This 301-nucleotide ribosomal RNA is filed under the name uncultured bacterium. RNAcentral describes it as "partial 16S ribosomal RNA". It matches the Rfam family "Bacterial small subunit ribosomal RNA", at positions 509 to 807 of the family's 1533-position model. The record is from RNAcentral.
CAGUAGCCACGGGAAUACAGAGGGUGCGAGCGUUAAUCGGAUUUACUGGGCGUAAAGCGUGCGUAGGCGGCUAAUUGAGUCGGAUGUGAAAUCCCCGAGCUUAACUUGGGAAUUGCAUUCGAUACUGGUUAGCUAGAGUGUGGGAGAGGAUGGUAGAAUUCCAGGUGGAGCGGUGAAAUGCGUUGAGAUCGGAAAGAACACCAACGGCGAAAGCACUCUGCUGGGCCGACACUGACACUGAGAGACGAAAGCUAGGGGAGCAAAUGGGAUUAGAUACCCGCGUAGUCCCUGUCUCUUAUAC